This 98-nucleotide non-coding RNA is filed under the name Otolemur garnettii (small-eared galago). The record is from RNAcentral. Lineage: Eukaryota; Metazoa; Chordata; Mammalia; Primates; Galagidae.
GGCUGGUGUGAAGGUAGUGAGUUAUGUCGAUGGACUGCUCAAGUUACAGAUCCAACUACUCCUUGUUUUGCUCUUCUAUCGCACUUGACUAGUCUUAA